This 3167-nucleotide long non-coding RNA is filed under the name Prunus persica (peach). RNAcentral's name for it is "long non-coding RNA (PPER_LNC005616)". The record is from RNAcentral. Lineage: Eukaryota; Viridiplantae; Streptophyta; Magnoliopsida; Rosales; Rosaceae.
GAUAUUCUCAACAUGCCAAGCAAGAAGCUUAAACAACAGCCUAGUUAUUUCAAAAUGACCAAGCCUGAACAAAAGCCAAGUUUAAUGGGCAUGUAUACAAACUCAACACACCAGCCAUGGAUAUGACCCUAGAUAUGAUAGGAAAUUCACAAAAUCAGGAAAACCCUAGGUGCACAACUAAUUUAGGCUAUAUUUUUGUUUACAAUAAACUGGAAGAAAACACUCUUUACUGGAACUUUGAAUAUAAAGCCUUGAUUAAGAGCGCUUUUUUUGCGUACAAGCAAUUGGGGAGGGUGGUUUACACAAAUAUUCAUUGGGUGACUGAAAUUUUUAAAUCUCUUCCUAUGUGAGUUGAGGUGGAAGAGACGAACUGAGCUAUGCACUAUUGCACCUUUCAUCAAUACAAUAUACUUUACACCUCGAGAGAAAAGGAAAAAUAUUUUGAACCCCGCAUGUGUCAUGUGGCUUGUAUUCUAUUUCAAGUUGGUCUCGUUUUCAAUGCAAGAGAAACUUUUUGUGAGAAAAGAAAACAAAUGUUGUUGUAAAAUAAUAUAAUGUGGAGUCCCCAAAAUGCCCCCAUGUGGAAUCCCCAAAUUGCCCCCCUCUAAUGCCUAUUAAUUGGGCUUCAUCUUCUUCAUUGGAAGAUAUCUGAAUAGAAGAGAAAAAUCAGUUUCUCCUCCUCUCUCUCUCUCUCUCUCAAUUCUCUCAACCAUUUCUUAUCAAUUUAUAACACGUUAUCAGCACGAUUUCUCUAUUUCACACUCUCAGAUUCUCUCUGUUUCUCUGUUUCUUCUUAUCUGCGAUAUGUAAGUGAAAAAUGCCGGAGCACAGAUCGGAUUUCGGAGUCCGAGGCGCGAGCCCCGACUCGGUCAUCUUCAGGGAUUAGACCAAAAUAGAAUCUGAUUAGUUUUGGCAUAAUCAUGAAUUACAAAUAAGAACAAUGAAAGACAACGACACUCGUUGUUGUCGACUGAGACAGUGAAGAAGGAAAGAGAAACCCAACCUCUAAACCCAACAACAAUCAAACUCAAAAUCUUCCCAUCAUAUUUCCUCGCGAAAUUAACAAACUUACCAGCGGAGAGAGAAAGAAGCUUGAUGAAAUUUUGCCUCAGAGAGCCCGAGAGGGUCUUCAAAGAUUUCAAGAACGGCAGAAAUAUUUAGGCGGCAGCAGCUGAGGCAGGCAUGGGAAGCGGUUGAUAUGGGCACGUGGACAGCUUUCCAGUGACGCUGCAUGAUUGUUCAGUGCAGGCACAACCUCUUCUUGCAGACCCGAUUUGCAGAUCCGCUCCUAGAGCUGCCAGCUCUUCACAUCAUCUUUGUCCACAUCAGAACCCACGAGCCUCUUGAGCUCUGACCUGACCUUGUAGAACACGUGCCUCCAGCUUCCUCUGUUGUCAGAGCCAAGAGCACAGCAAAAAGAUGGAACAAAGCAGCAGCACUACAUCAGUGUGUGCUUUUAUAAAAGAUGUAUUAUGGCUAUUGCCUCAACCAAGCAGGCUACACCUAACAAGAGAAGCAAGUCUGUAUAGAAGGAGCACUUAAUGACAUGUAAGCAUCACGGUAGCUGGAUGCAUAGAAGGAGAAUCAAGCACCGAUGAGAGUGACAGUGAGAGUAAUGCAUAUCACAAACACCGCCAGUUAGUACUCGAGACUGCUGCUCAAGUUUUCAGUGAUGCAGCCCAGGAAUAUUCCAAACUUUCAUUGGUCAAAGAAAGGUUUGAAGAAUGGAAGAAAGGUGCCAGAGAUGAUUUUUUUUAAUGUAAAUGGGAGUGCUUUGGAAUAAUUUGGUGGACUUGUGACAGCAGUGAUGAUGAUGAUGAUAAGGCCCAUGCGGAGAAACCAGCUAGUGGUGGACAGCAAUACUAGAAAGGUCCUCUGCUCCCUAUCUUUCAAAUACUUUAGUAUUAUUCUAUACUAUUUAACUUGCUUUGCAGGUGGAAAGGCAGUAACAAUUAACAAGAACAUGAUAAAUAUUAAUAUUAAUGGUAGUAUAAUAAUAUUACACUAUUUGAUCGUGGUGUUGAUAAGAACCCACAAAUAAUUGACGUUUACUUUAUCGCAAAUUUAUUUUUUUACUUAAAGUAUGAUGUGGAAUUAACCCUCAUACUUUAUGAAUUUAAUUUACUGCACAUUUACUUUUACUUAAAGUAUGAUGAGGAAUUAACCCUCAUACUUUAUGAAUUUAAUUUACUGCACAUUUACAUUUAUUUAAAAGGGUGGUGCGAGUUUAUCGUCCACGCCUUUACUUUUAUUUAAAUGUAUGGAGCAGAAUUAGUGCCCAUACAAGCAUGUUUACUUUAUCGUAAAUUUACUUUUACUUAAAGUAUGAUGAGGAAUUAACCCUCAUACUUUAUGAAUUUACUUUACUGCACAUUUAUUUUUACUUAAAGUAUGAUGAGGAAUUAACCCUCAUACUUUAUGAAUUUACUUUACCACACAUUUAAUUUUAUUUAAGAUAUGGUGCGGAAUUAACGUCCAUAUAGCAAGCAAUUUAUUUUAUCGCACAUUUACUUUUACUUAAAGUAUGAUGAGGAAUUAACCCUCAUACUUUAUGAAUUUAAUUUACCGCACAUUUACAUUUAUUUAAAGUGUGGUGCGGGUUUAUCGUCCAUACUAGUAAUUUAUUUACUAGCAAUUUAUUUUAUGGAUUAAAUGUGCUGUAUGAUGAGUUUUUACAGUAUGCAGAUCAAGACCAGAAGUUCCUUGAUCCUCAUCAUACAAUUACAUCAGGACUUGAAGAUUCUUGAUGAUGAUGUUAAUAUGAGAACUGGCAGUCUCUCAGGCACUAUAUUUGUAAACAUGUGAUUGGACUUGAGGGUCCUUGAUCCUUGACAUGUAAAUAAGGACCUGGAGUUCCUUAAUGAUGUAACAGUACCGUAUUGGUUCAUAAUGCCGUACACAUGGAUGAUAACUGUACUGGCAAAUGUACUGUACAUAUGAAUAGUGCCGUAUAAAUGAAUAGUGAUGUAUGCAUAAAUAUUUACCAUUUUGGGUAAACUAUCACCAUUCAAAAAGGGGACCUGCAGUUCCUUAAACUCAUGAAUGAGCAAUUAAAUGAGAUGCCAUAAGUUCCUCAAAAUAUGGACAAUUAUGUAAGGGCUUGAAGUCCAGAAAUAUGUACAGAAAAUUGUAAAAGUGUCCAUACCAUGAGAAUAUGUGAUUUUGGC